CCGACCUUAGCUCAGUUGGUAGAGCGGAGGACUGUAGUGGGAUAGAAAGUCCUUUCGUAAUCCUUAGGUCGCUGGUUCGAAUCCGGCAGGUCGGA
Picea glauca (white spruce) is the source of this 95-nucleotide non-coding RNA. The record is from Rfam. NCBI's taxonomy places the organism in Eukaryota, Viridiplantae, Streptophyta, Pinopsida, Pinales, Pinaceae.